RNAcentral lists this transfer RNA (72 nucleotides) under Chloroflexota bacterium. RNAcentral's name for it is "Chloroflexi bacterium (groundwater metagenome) tRNA-Arg". It matches the Rfam family "tRNA". Rfam says of the family: Transfer RNA (tRNA) molecules are approximately 80 nucleotides in length. Their secondary structure includes four short double-helical elements and three loops (D, anti-codon, and T loops). The record is from RNAcentral. Lineage: Bacteria; Bacillati; Chloroflexota.
GCCCCUUAGCUCAGGGGAUAGAGCAGCGGUCUUCUAAACCGCUGGCCGUAGGUUCGAAUCCUACAGGGGGCG